CUUAUGGCUGGAACAUACGAUACGGGGACGGGAAACACAGAGAUUAUCGCUCCUUAUGUUUUCGUCCAAUCAGGAAUCAGCGCCGCCAUUUUACAAUUUUAGUUCAAAGCGGAGGAAAUGUUCGGUCAGAAAAUCGAUCGGUAUGUUUACUUAAUGGGGUUGAAGUCCCCAGAAAGUAAAUGAAAUAAUUCUGUUUAUCGAAGAUUGGAAACUUUCCAUCAGAUGCUUUCUUCACAAAUUUCUUUUUGCUUGAGAAUACCAGUAAUGAUGAACAAGAUACUGAGUGUAAGGUCACAAAAGAUACCAUGAAUUUGUCGAUUCAGAUUGAAGGAUUAAAAUAUGUAUUCGUGUCACAGAGAAAAUGAAGUUGGACCUACUUGGGCAUUCAUAUAUCUUAUGAAACAUUUUUUCAAAGCCGCAUGCCUCCAGAUUACCCAAAAUAUUUCAAAGAAAUUACACUUGGAAAAAAACAUACUAAAACUUUAAGAAAAAGUAAACAGAUCAAAGAUUCAAGUGAUAAUUUAUAUCUUAUGUGCAAUUAAUGACUGUAUAUUGCAGUAUGUAUCACCAUAUUUAUAGUGCGUUACUAACGCAGUAGGGGCCAUUCAUGCACAUUUUGACUUCUUUGUGGUAAUUUAUGUAGAUUAUAAGUGCCGAUUUCAAUGUGUCAAGUAUUUCUUUGUUCAUUUCACAAUAUUUUUUGUAUUUGUAUUCCAAUUAUGUUUACAUUUGUACAGCUUAUAUUCAUAAGAUGAAAUAAAUAUUUAAAAAAAAAUUGUAAUGUGUAAUAUAUUGAUAAAGUGUUUUUUAUCAACUAGGUAGUCCUUCAUGCUGCCUAGCCUUUUAAUAAACGAGUAAAAGAAUUUUAAUAAGUCAGUGGUUCAGUAUAAAAAAUCACAGAUAUAUUGUCCACUGGUCUGAUGCAUAUAUAUACAUACAGAAAUGUCACAUAACAAAUGGGUCGAAGCUGGAACUCUAACAAUGGGUAUGCAGGUUGAUGACCAGUAUGACGUGGCCAUUGCAAAUAUGAAUCUUAGUUGUUAUACUAUUUACAGUUGAAAAAGACCACAGAAAGAAACAUUGCAUAAAAAAAGUUUUUCUAACCUUUAACAUUCUUAACUCCAUGUUUAUUCCUUAAAUGUCCUCUAAUACCCGAUACAGAAUUGUAUGACUUAUCACACUGAUCACAUACAUAAGUUUUUCUUUUAUCAUCUUUAGAUUUUACACUUAUCUUAUCCUCAUCAUCAGAAUUUUCAUAUUCACUAGCUGUAAAUUCACCAAGAAAAAAAUCUAAA
Long non-coding RNA from Ruditapes philippinarum (Manila clam), 1295 nucleotides. RefSeq lists it as uncharacterized. Lineage: Eukaryota; Metazoa; Mollusca; Bivalvia; Venerida; Veneridae. The record is from RefSeq and is a predicted model, not a curated record. The transcript has 2 exons.